GGAACCGCAGGAAGCUGAGUCUGUUUAGUACACAGCUGAUCAGAGUCGGCUGGGUUGAAGCCGCAGGACCAACUUCUAAGGGAGGGAAGGGCAGGAGUGCAGAGCCCGGAGUCCACAUCCGAGACCCCUAAGUCAAAGACAUUUCAACUACCCUCAACUCACCCUCAACUACUGGAAAAAUGCUGGCCACGCAUCUGGCUUCGUCAUCCCCUUGGAGUUCCUUCUGAUCUCCCUGCCUUUGGCAGCCUGGCUCCAGUGGAAUGUGCCCGCUGUGGUACCUACCAAGUUCAAGGAGAGGUCCUGGCGGUCCACCAAGACGCGCUGCUUUAGGUCAGUAAGACUUCGGACUCUGGCCCCACCCACAUCUGGAUGACCACGCCUCCUAACCUGUCCCCACGCCCUUACUCCUCCCUUUCAAGCCUUGUCCACUGGGGUGGAGCGGGGAUUGGUCAGGUUCCCUACAAUAGUCCAGCCCUCGGCAUUCUCCAUUUUACCUCUAACUCUCAGGGGGCCAGGGAAGCAUCUCUGCUCAGGAGAGCCUGCUCCACCUGACUCGGUGCGACAGAGGCAAAAUCUCCUGAGCUUUUUUCUAGGGCUCCCACCUUGCUCCCGACUCCUCUGGUUUCCAGCGAGGGGUCAGGGCAGUGGCUCUUGGGAGGAAUAAAACGGUUGGUGUGUUUUCCUCC
RNAcentral lists this long non-coding RNA (686 nucleotides) under Rattus norvegicus (Norway rat). RNAcentral's name for it is "long non-coding RNA NONRATT022819". Lineage: Eukaryota; Metazoa; Chordata; Mammalia; Rodentia; Muridae. The record is from RNAcentral.